Molecule: ribosomal RNA, 446 nt
Filed under: uncultured bacterium
Lineage: Bacteria
Description: partial 16S ribosomal RNA
Rfam family: Bacterial small subunit ribosomal RNA
Source: RNAcentral
CCUACGGGGGGCAGCAGUCGAGAAUCAUUCACAAUGGGGGAAACCCUGAUGGUGCGACACCGCGUGGGGGAAUGAAGGUCUUCGGAUUGUAAACCCCUGUCAUGUGGGAGCAAAUUAAAAAGAUAGUACCACAAGAGGAAGAGACGGCUAACUCUGUGCCAGCAGCCGCGGUAAUACAGAGGUCUCAAGCGUGGUUCGGAAUCACUGGGCGUAAAGGGUGCGUAGGCUGUUUCGUAAGUCGUGUGUGAAAGGCGCGGGCUCACCCCGCGGACGGCACAUGAUACUGCGAGACUAGAGUAAUGGAGGGGGAACCGGAAUUCUCGGUGUAGCAGUGAAAUGCGUAGAUAUCGAGAGGAACACUCGUGGCGAAGGCGGGUUCCUGGACAUUAACUGACGCUGAGGCACGAAGGCCAGGGGAGCGAAAGGGAUUAGAUACCCCGGUAGUC